Molecule: ribosomal RNA, 447 nt
Filed under: Staphylococcus arlettae
Lineage: Bacteria; Bacillati; Bacillota; Bacilli; Caryophanales; Staphylococcaceae
Description: bacterial SSU rRNA
Rfam family: Bacterial small subunit ribosomal RNA
Source: RNAcentral
UCCUUUGACGUUAGCGGCGGACGGGUGAGUAACACGUGGGUAACCUACCUAUAAGACUGGAAUAACUCCGGGAAACCGGGGCUAAUGCCGGAUAACAUUUAGAACCGCAUGGUUCUAAAGUGAAAGAUGGUUUUGCUAUCACUUAUAGAUGGACCCGCGCCGUAUUAGCUAGUUGGUAAGGUAAUGGCUUACCAAGGCAACGAUACGUAGCCGACCUGAGAGGGUGAUCGGCCACACUGGAACUGAGACACGGUCCAGACUCCUACGGGAGGCAGCAGUAGGGAAUCUUCCGCAAUGGGCGAAAGCCUGACGGAGCAACGCCGCGUGAGUGAUGAAGGGUUUCGGCUCGUAAAACUCUGUUAUUAGGGAAGAACAAACGUGUAAGUAACUGUGCACGUCUUGACGGUACCUAAUCAGAAAGCCACGGCUAACUACGUGCCAGCAGCC